This 509-nucleotide ribosomal RNA is filed under the name uncultured bacterium. RNAcentral's name for it is "bacterial SSU rRNA". It matches the Rfam family "Bacterial small subunit ribosomal RNA", at positions 28 to 532 of the family's 1533-position model. The record is from RNAcentral.
GACGAACGCUGGCGGCGUGCCUAACACAUGCAAGUCGAGCGGAGUCGAUCGACGGAAGCCUUCGGGCGGAAGAUGGUUGACUUAGCGGCGGAUGGGUGAGUAACGCGUGGGCAACCUGCCUCGAAGACCGGGAUAACAGCCCGAAAGGGCUGCUAAUACCGGAUGUGGUCAAGGAUCCGCAUGGAUUUUUGAUUAAAGGGGAAACCCGUUUCGAGAUGGGCCCGCGUCCUAUCAGCUAGUUGGUGAGGUAAAAGCUCACCAAGGCGACGACGGGUAGCCGGCCUGAGAGGGUGACCGGCCACACUGGAACUGAGACACGGUCCAGACUCCUACGGGGGCAGCAGUGGGGAAUCUUCCACAAUGGGCGAAAGCCUGAUGGAGCGACGCCGCGUGAGCGAAGAAGGCCUUCGGUUGUAAAGCUCUGUCUGGAGGGACGAAGGAAGUGACGGUACCUCCGGAGGAAGCCACGGCUAACUACGUGCCAGCAGCCGCGGUAAAAGUACUACUAU